UUAUAUAAUUGAUGGAUAAUUUUUGAAAUAUAUUUAUUUAAUGUGUGAAUAGCUUAUUCAUAGGAAUUUUAUUUGCACUUAUAUAAGGUAUAAGUUGAUGAGUAAUGUAAUUUACUAAAUCGAUCAAUUUUUACCUUAUACAUAUUGAUCGAGUAAAAAGGUUACUUUGGACAAUUAUUUUAGUUGAUGAUUAAUGGGCCAAGCCCAUAAUUUAUUUAAUAGCCCAUAUUACAUGGCCAUAUAAAAUGGACUAAAGUUAAUAGGUUUUGCACUUUUAAAUCAUAACAAUAAAAAAUAAAAAUAAAAUGCCUAUAUUCGGCUAGGCUUAGGGGAAUAGAGAUACGAGAGAGGGGCAACAGGAAGCAGUCCGUGGAAGAAAGUAAGGCAAAGUAGAUUUUGAUCGUUCAGAGGCUCUACGCAAAGGGAAGACAUUAGUUUGAUUGUUAGUGGAACCCGCUCGGUAUUGAGAGUACGAUCCAGGCUCCAGUUCUACACCCCGUGGCUGAUACGCGAGGGUGACAUCUUUCCGUCAUUCAUGGUGAGCUACUUGAUCAUCCGUGGCCCCUGAAGGACCUCCUUUAUUUAUUUCUGCUUUUAUAUCCGAUAGACAAGAUGUAACCUUCGGGUAUUUUCAGACUUCUAUUUCGUACUAUGUUAGCGCUCUUGUACCCUUUGACCAGAUUUUGGGAUUAUCGUGACAUUUCUAGUGAUGAUAAGUAUUUAAGACUUGAUAAUUUAUUCUUA
Molecule: long non-coding RNA, 744 nt
Organism: Lycium barbarum (goji berry)
Lineage: Eukaryota; Viridiplantae; Streptophyta; Magnoliopsida; Solanales; Solanaceae
Exons: 3
Source: RefSeq, a predicted model, not a curated record